AGCGCAGGCGGGCUUACAAGUCGGUGGUGAAAUCCUACAGCUUAACUGUAGAACUGCCUCCGAUACUGCAAGUCUUGAGUGUGGAAGAGGGCGAUGGAAUUCAUGGUGUAGCGGUGAAAUGCGUAGAUAUCAUGAAGAACACCGGUCGCGAAGGCGGUCGCCUGGUCCAUUACUGACGCUCAUGCUCGAAAGUGUGGGGAGCAAACAGGAUUAGAUACCCUGGUAGUCCACACCUUAAACGAUGAAUACUUGGUGUCGGGCCGAAAGGUUCGGUGCCAAAGCUAACGCAUUAAGUAUUCCACCUGGGGAGUACGAUCGCAAGGUUGAA
This 328-nucleotide ribosomal RNA is filed under the name uncultured bacterium. Its description in RNAcentral is "bacterial SSU rRNA". It matches the Rfam family "Bacterial small subunit ribosomal RNA", at positions 568 to 898 of the family's 1533-position model. The record is from RNAcentral.